CUAAAGCUUUACCUCAAGAGAUACCCUCCGCGCCUCUCGUACUAAGGUAAAAUAUAAUCGGGUUAUCGUGCCCCUCUCUAAUAAGCUGGUCCACGGAAACCCCAACUGCAGUGACUAAUCAAUAUCCCACCAAAUCAAUAAAAGUUUCGACAGCAUGACAUGACAAUUAUAUUACUACCUAGCCUGUUAAGGCAAAACAAAUAGUUCAUACAAUUUCAACACAAUUUCCAAUUCAACCAUUUAUGCUAAUAUCACCAUAAGCCAUUCAAUUCAAACCAUAAAUUUACAAUACAAUCAAACAUUCUCCAAUUACUCAAUUUCUAAAAUCAUCAUUCAAUUUCAAAAUGAUUUAUAAAACUCAUUUCAUUUAAUCACAUUUUACUUAUAAAACAUAAGGAUUUACCAUUUAAACUCAUUUUUCUAUAAAAUCACAAAAACGAAUAAAAACUACUUUAGAUAACUAAGACGAUAAUAAGGUUACUCACAAUAUCGGGAGUCGAUGUACUCCUAAGCCCGGUCUUCGAGUACAAUCUCCUUACCGUUAUCGGAAGUUUCACCACCUAAACAUAAUGCACAACAAGCAAUUUAUUAUAUUUGUAUUAAACCGUUAUAAAACUAAUUUAGGCUCUAUAUAAAUGCAUGAAAUGGGAUGCGAAAUGUUCAUAUUAUUAUCUAAAUAUGGUGUUCUAUGUAGUUUCAAUUAUGUAUCGAAAUAAAAUGGUAUUGGCCUAAUUCGAUCUAUACACCGGUUAAUUGGCCAAUACAUCCAAUUCAACUUCGAUUAACUUGAUUCCACUUCCAACACUCCAAGUCAUCAAUUACAAGUUAAAUAAUAUGUAAUAUCACAAAAAUCCAUCAUCAAUAUCUUCCUUGUAAAAUUCGGCCAUUGAAGGUUUAGUGUAGAAUAUGUAAUUUUCAUGCUUGAUUUUUACACCUUACAUCAUAAAACAACUAAAAUCACCUAAAUAGCAUGAAAUUCAUCAAAGUCCAUUAUCCAAUUUCUCUCUUGAAAUUUCAGCCAAGGAGUGUGGGUGAAGGGCAUGAAAUGUCUUGCUUGUUUUUCAUGCUAAACAUUACCAAACAACUAAAAACACUAAGAUACCUUGAAAUCUAACCAAAUAAAUCAUCAAAUCUUCUCUCCCUAAAAUCGGUCAGCCAUGAAUCCUUCAUGAGAUCUUGAAUUUUAACCAUGGUAAUUGAAAAGAAUGCAUAGGAAAGGUAGAUCACAAGCUAGAAUUAAGAAAUUUUACCUUUACUUGCUUAAUUCCUUGAAAUCCAAUAAAUUUUCUCUUGAUUUUCUUCUCUAGGGUUUGUUCUAAGCUUUUUCCCUUUUGUUCUUAGCUUGGCCGGC
RNAcentral lists this long non-coding RNA (1351 nucleotides) under Theobroma cacao (cacao). RNAcentral describes it as "long non-coding RNA (TCAC_LNC001178)". The record is from RNAcentral. Lineage: Eukaryota; Viridiplantae; Streptophyta; Magnoliopsida; Malvales; Malvaceae.